This 74-nucleotide ribosomal RNA is filed under the name Pseudomonas aeruginosa. RNAcentral describes it as "partial 23S ribosomal RNA". The record is from RNAcentral. Lineage: Bacteria; Pseudomonadati; Pseudomonadota; Gammaproteobacteria; Pseudomonadales; Pseudomonadaceae.
UGUGUAAGCGUUGUGAGGCGUUGAGCUAACCAGUACUAAUUGCCCGUGAGGCUUGACCAUAUAACACCCAAACA